UGUUUUUGAACUACAGUUCCCAUCAUCUCUGAACACUGGUUUUGGGAUGAUGGGAAUUGUAGUCCAACAACA
Molecule: non-coding RNA, 72 nt
Organism: Podarcis lilfordi (Lilford's wall lizard)
Lineage: Eukaryota; Metazoa; Chordata; Lepidosauria; Squamata; Lacertidae
Source: the annotation of a GenBank genome assembly